CACUUGGGCAAACUUCUGGGUAAUGCCUACUUUAAAGUGUCCUGUACUAGCUGACGAGCACCACAAAAAAUUCAGCAUUUAGUGGAAGGCUGUUUCUCUAGGGUCCUCAAGACUGCUUUUUCUUUCCUCAGGUGAUGGUACUGUUUAGCUUGUGGCUCCCUUCCACCCUACCUCAAUUCAGCAAAUACUGCAGGCACCUACUAUGUGCUGAAGACCCAUAGUGACCAAAAGAGCGUUUAGAUACAAAAGAGAAUGCAGUCCUCAGAAAAGGAAGAGGAGCCACCAAAGGGGACUCAGAGGACAUCUGAGCACUGAGAGAAAGUGCUAUCAUGAAAGCCAAGAGAGGCGCAUCAGAGAGGAGAGUGGCCAACUGUAGCAAACACCGAGAGGUCAGCAGUAAGAUGAAGCCCCGAAGGGAUCAUUGGCUUCUGAAACAUGGAGUUUCCAGAUCGACAGGUGGAGGCAGGAGCCUGACCCAGACUGAUCUGAGGAGAAAUUGGAGUUGAUGUGCAAACAGCAACUGCAGAGAACUCACAAAGUUUUGACGUGAAGGGGAGCAAAAAAAUGAGGGAGGUGGCUGGACGGAGAUGUGGGAUCAAGGCGAUUUUUGUUGUUCAAACUUUGUUUUUAGGAUACGGGAUACUGGGGCACGUUAUCUUAAGCAGGUGGGAAUGAUCUGGUAUAGAAGGAGAAACUGAUGACUAAGGAGAGAGGGGUCCAGGUACAGGCAAGGGGGUUGGCUCUAAUAGGUGCGCAAACCCUUCAUUCAAAAGCGGGGAGGGCAGAGAACAUGGGCAAGGUGCAGUGGUUGGUAGAUGGACAAGAGGGUUCAUAUCUGAUGGAUUCUAUCAUCUCUGUGAAGUAUGAGGCAAGCUCAUCUGUUUAGAGUGAAGGAUGAGAAGGGGUUAAGGGAGGAAGAAGAUUGAAAAAUCAUCAUUGCAGAGUGUGAGGAAUUGAAAACAGCAGCAAAAUAUAGUAGGAUUGAUAGGCAGAAUUGAGGGCUGAUUUAAAAUUUGUGGACAUCAACAUAAAGUGACAACAGUCACUGUAAAUUUCCCAGCAAUACAGGCAGAGAGUAGAGGAAUAGCUGGCUUAAUGAGGGUUGGGAAAGUUAUAAGAAAAGAGAGUGUCAGAGGGGUUAUGGGUUUUUGUCAGGAAGAGAGUAUAAUGCUCAUUACUAAGCUGGUAAGGAGAGAAGCGAGCCCGAGAAGGAAGAUAAGUGUGGAAAUCUGGCAGGUCCAAAGUCUGCAAGUCUUGACGAGGUUGAAGAAAUGCUUGUGUCAAUAGUUGGCUGGUCAAGGGGUGCGAUCUGACCUAGGGGCAGCCAAUCUGUGGACUGGCCAGUGACCUAUCCGAUGAGCUGUCAGCAUUAAAAGAUGAGAUGGGUCAGUUGGAUUCUGUCUUGGGGUCUGAACUAUGAAACACAAAAAGAAUUUGCCAGUUAAUAGAGCAAGCAGAUGCAGAGAAUAAAGAGGGGGCAAAGACCACC
This is a long non-coding RNA of Equus caballus (horse), 1489 nucleotides long. NCBI's taxonomy places the organism in Eukaryota, Metazoa, Chordata, Mammalia, Perissodactyla, Equidae. The record is from Ensembl.